UUUUAUCAAAAGUUAAAUAAUGCAAAAUUAAAAGGUCAAAGUAAACUUGAAUAAAUCAAACUAAAAACAAUUACAUUAUGGUUUUAUUUUUUAAACUAAUAAAAGUAAAAUAUAAAAAUAGAAAAUUUUAUUUAUACAUAAAUUUUUUAAAUAUUUUAUAUAUGUGUAUGGCGCAGUUGAACUCCUAGUACAAUACAAAAAGGAUAUACGAGGAGUAGGGAGGAUGUCCACCUCGACAAUAAAAAUCAACCAAUAGGGAUGUUGUUUUCCUCCACGUCACAUCUAUUGGGUUUUUGUUUCACACUUGCGUAUGAGCUUCAGAAAAUAACUUGAGCCCAUUGUUAAAUUAGAUUUCUUUGUUCUUGCCUAAGACCUUCAUAUUUUUCAGACAAAAAAUUACAGAGAACUUAAGCGUCGAUUGGCUCUCUCUAACGUCUCCUUCUUCCAUUGAUACGUUCUUUACUCCCAGCUUCUGUGUGACUAACCCACUCUGCCUCAUUCAAUCGACCUCAUCGCAUCCUCAAAGUAACCAUCUAAAGCUCGAGUAUAAAUAUCUCCUUCUUCCGGCACGAACAGCACAACUUCAACGAGAUCUAAAAACUUAGUCUAUUCAACUUAUCGAUUAUUACUAUGGCGAAUUCCUUCAUCAUUCUUGCCGAUCUGAAAGCUGGGCGCUGCUCUAACACUGUGAAGGUAGGUCGGUGAAGGAGAUUGUUGAAGUCGUCUUGCAAGAACCAUGAGGAGGAGCUUAACUGGAGCAAGAGUUCCUUAUGCCUCGAUGUUGACAGUAAAUCAUCAUUACAUGCAGCGUCCCACUUCAAGAUUCACUUAUCUGAAGGCUUUAGCUUCAAAAACAUACGUGGUAUGGUCCACCAAAGUGUACCUCCUUUGCAGGGCCUUGGAAGACAAGCGUAUAUCUUCUUGGUGGAUGGUGGACUUAGGCGAAGAUGACCAGGUCUCCUCCAUUACUUCUCUUUCUAUCACAUCAUUUGUUUUAGUAAAGACACAUGCAGUCCAAGAACUUCAUAACCUGAGUAACAGAAAAUUUAGUUCGUUUUUAGUUUGAUAUCUCAGAACCUAACCAGCUGACUAUAGUGGGAUGCAUCUUAUGUGCAACUAUUACACUUUCAGAUGAUGGGUCAAGCACAUACGCAAGGUCCUGGAAGUUUCAGGGAUCAGUGGAUAGGAAAACAUGGACGGACUUGAGAACUCUAUGGUUACUUCCAUUGGAAACUACACUUCAAUGAAAUAGCCUCUUGACUGUCUCCACCACACAUGUGUGCCUUUCCAUUACAAUAUCUAGACACAGUGAAGGAAGGUAUUCAAACAACAUUUAUAGAGCAGGUGGUAGCAGAUGAAAGCAAUAUGGAAGGUGUUCCACCAGCUUGCUCGAGGAUAUUGAACUGGCAUCUUCACUUGAAUGCCCUAGAUGUCCCUUAUCCACAAGGGUGGGUGAUCCAAAAGAAUUUUGAAUCUGUCAUAACUGUGAGAUAGUUCCAAGAUACAACUUUUGACUGGUAAAGAUUUAUAUGGUUGAUGAACUUUUGAAGUCUCAGGUGUUCAGGAACUUAUAAGCAAAAGGUGAAGUUCAAGACCAUGAAAAUUUGGUGUAUUUAGUAUGAUAUGGAAUUAUUAUGUGUUAUAUUUUAUAUUGACCCAAUUCAUAAUUGGUGGAGUUUAUUAAUUUGUUUGCGUUUAUUAAUUUAUCGAAUACUAACUCAUAGAGUUUCUACUUUAAUGGGUUCAGAAAACUUCAUAGAUAAAGCUUUUUUAUUUUUUUUAUUAA
Molecule: long non-coding RNA, 1786 nt
Organism: Brassica napus (rape)
Lineage: Eukaryota; Viridiplantae; Streptophyta; Magnoliopsida; Brassicales; Brassicaceae
Exons: 5
Source: RefSeq, a predicted model, not a curated record